RNAcentral lists this ribosomal RNA (414 nucleotides) under Triticum aestivum (bread wheat). RNAcentral describes it as "partial small subunit ribosomal RNA". Lineage: Eukaryota; Viridiplantae; Streptophyta; Magnoliopsida; Poales; Poaceae. The record is from RNAcentral.
CUCUAUCGUCUGGAGCAUCCUGGCGUCGCUCGCGUCUUCAGUGGAGUUCGGGUAUCUCCGUCACAGUGGCAUGCUCGUCUUGGUCACCCGGCCACACCUAUUGUCCGGCAUGUUUUGCGUCGUCAUGAGCUUCCUAGUGUGUCUAGUAAUAAAGAUGUAGCAGUGUGUGAUGCUUGUCAGCAGGGGAAGAGUCAUCAACUUCCUUUUUCGGAGUCCAAUCGUGAGGUGAAACAUCCUUUAGAACUUGUGUUUUCAGAUGUAUGGGGUCCUGCUCAGACUUCUGUUAGUGGUCAUAAUUACUAUAUCAGUUUUGUUGAUGCUUACAGCCGCUUUACCUGGCUUUAUCUUAUCAAACAUAAAUCUGAUGUGUUUGACAUUUUUGUUCAGUUCCAAAAACAUGUUGAACGCCUUCUC